This 582-nucleotide ribosomal RNA is filed under the name uncultured fungus. RNAcentral describes it as "SSU rRNA". It matches the Rfam family "Eukaryotic small subunit ribosomal RNA", at positions 83 to 668 of the family's 1831-position model. Lineage: Eukaryota; Fungi. The record is from RNAcentral.
GAAACUGCGAAUGGCUCAUUAAAUCAGUUAUCGUUUAUUUGAUAGUACCUUACUACAUGGAUAACCGUGGUAAUUCUAGAGCUAAUACAUGCUAAAAAUCCCGACUUCGGAAGGGAUGUAUUUAUUAGAUUAAAAACCAAUGCCCUUCGGGGCUCUCUGGUGAUUCAUAAUAACUUCUCGAAUCGCACGGCCUUGCGCCGGCGAUGGUUCAUUCAAAUUUCUGCCCUAUCAACUUUCGACGGCUGGGUCUUGGCCAGCCGUGGUGACAACGGGUAACGGAGGGUUAGGGCUCGGCCCCGGAGAAGGAGCCUGAGAAACGGCUACUACAUCCAAGGAAGGCAGCAGGCGCGCAAAUUACCCAAUCCCGACACGGGGAGGUAGUGACAAUAAAUACUGAUACAGGGCUCUUUCGGGUCUUGUAAUUGGAAUGAGUACAAUUUAAAUCCCUUAACGAGGAACAAUUGGAGGGCAAGUCUGGUGCCAGCAGCCGCGGUAAUUCCAGCUCCAAUAGCGUAUAUUAAAGUUGUUGAGGUUAAAAAGCUCGUAGUUGAACCUUGGGCCUAGCCGGCCGGUCCGCCUCAC